GAUGAACGCUGGCGGCGUGCCUGAUACAUGCGAGUCGAGCGAACGGACGAGAAGCUUGCUUCUCUGAUGUUAGCGGCGGACGGGUGAGUAACACGUGGAUAACCUACCUAUAAGACUGGGAUAACUUCGGGAAACCGUAGCUAAUACCGGAUAAUAUUUUGAACCGCAUGGUUCAAAAGUGAAAGACGGUCUUGCUGUCACUUAUAGAUGGAUCCGCGCUGCAUUAGCUAGUUGGUAAGGUAACGGCUUACCAAGGCAACGAUGCAUAGCCGACCUGAGAGGGUGAUCGGCCACACUGGAACUGAGACACGGUCCAGACUCCUACGGGAGGCAGCAGUAGGGAAUCUUCCGCAAUGGGCGAAAGCCUGACGGAGCAACGCCGCGUGAGUGAUGAAGGUCUUCGGAUCGUAAAACUCUGUUAUUAGGGAAGAACAUAUGUGUAAGUAACUGUGCACAUCUUGACGGUACCUAAUCAGAAAGCCACGGCUAACUACGUG
Molecule: ribosomal RNA, 497 nt
Filed under: uncultured bacterium
Lineage: Bacteria
Description: partial 16S ribosomal RNA
Rfam family: Bacterial small subunit ribosomal RNA
Source: RNAcentral